This 4208-nucleotide long non-coding RNA is filed under the name Canis lupus familiaris (dog). RNAcentral describes it as "lncRNA (ENSCAFG00000056816.1)". Lineage: Eukaryota; Metazoa; Chordata; Mammalia; Carnivora; Canidae. The record is from RNAcentral.
UUGCUAGGCACUUUUUGUCCUAGCAAAAAUUAAAAUUUGUUAAAAUUUGACCUUGGAACAUGCAAGGCUCAAAAUUCCUUAAGCUUCAAUUCUACGCAUCUAGAACGUCUUCUUUUCUUUAAAAAAUAAAUAAAAACCAACCAAACAAAAAAAGACACAACCACCUUGAAUAUUGUUCUUACCCACCCCAAAUAAAUGUAAAGGCAAUAUAGUAUUGUCACCGUACAACACCUAUUGCACAUUUCCCGUGCCAGACACGACGGCCAAAAAGCUCUUUCUCAUUGACCAUCCUCCAUCAAUAUUUUGGAUCCCUGAAACAAAAUCUAGAAACCAAGCAGGUUACUCCCUAAUUGAUGCUCAUGAUUUCAUCAAGAGAAAAUUCUGUGGUUUCACACACCGUGAAAUCAGAGGGAAGUAAAGACUUUGGAAGAAAACCAGGCAGUAUGUCUCACUCUUGUGACGAUGUCCUCAGUGUCUUACCUACAUUUGGUGUGGUCUCCAGUGGCCUUCUUAUAAACAAGAGCGAGAAAUGCAUCCAAUGCCUGUGCAAUCAUGUUAAUUAAAUACCAUGUUAACAACCAAACCCAAAGGGCUUUUUGACUAGGCCAUGAUCAACAUAAUAAGAAAUUGCUAAUGAUGAGUCUUCAAAACCAGGCUUGAAAGAACUGAUCAUGGUUCGGUUGCUAAGGUUUGGCACUGGCUUUUUUGACAUCGGUCAAAUCUGACUCUCGAUCCUGUAUAAUGAUAGUACCCACUCUCUUGGAUUGGAGUUUGCUUUAUUGAAUGAAACAAAGGGUUGGUUAGCAGUCCGUCAUCCUACUGCUAUGAGAGGGUGCCAGGGAAGAGAGGGUGGUCACACUGCUGCACGGCAGUAGGCUUCAUAUUUGAUUGCACAUCACUCAAUCAUGGAGAGAUUUAGAAAACCCCUCAUGGCCAAGUCCCACCACACAGCAUCAGGUCAGGGUCUUGAUUUGUGGGAUCCAGCCUGAGUAUCAUUAAGGAAGGUGAUUCUCCGCGUAGGGCGUCUGGGUUUGCAAUAUUGAUGCGAAGUCUCCACUUUUAGUUUCUAUCAGCACCUUAUGGAUGAAGACUUGAGGCCGUGCACAUUGAAGUACAUGAGCUAGCAGCUAUCUUUUUCUCAGAUGGUAUGGGACUCUAUACAUUGUUGACAGAGCAGCGGGUCCCAUUUAAGAAGUGCAAUGUGACUGGACAUAAGGAUUUGCCCUUUCAUUCAAACCUCAUGGUGGAGAAUCCACAAUGGGAGUCUGUGGCUUGGCAGCAACAACCACAGCAUGGCACACAAGCAAGAUGGUGGAGUCUUGGCGAUCAAACCCUAGGAAGAGUAGAGGAAGAAAUGGAGAAGGUUGGUGAUUAGAGAUGGGAGACUUGUGUGGGAUGACUGUCCUGGACAUGAAAAGGCUGCCACAUGAACCAGAGUUGAAUUCAUCGCCUCCCAUUCUGCAGUACAAGCAUCUUGAAUAGUUUUCUGCUUGCUCUAAAAAUGCCAAUGUGUCCUCACCAGAUUGUCUUCAGUGAUUGUUCCAGGGGACAGAUUGCUGGAAACGAUUCAUAUUUGCCUUUUCCCUUGCUUGUGUGUGUGGACCCAAGGGAGGGCGGUUGGGAAGGACAAAAUUGAAUAUUAUCUUUUUCAUUAUCCCCGGUACUGGACCCUCCAUACGAAGACAUGUUAAAAUUUGACCUUGGAACAUGCAGGGGUCAAAAUUCCUUAAGCUUCAAUUCUACGCAUCUAGAACGUCUUCUUUUCUUUAAAAAAUAAAUAAAAACCAACCAAACAAAACACACAACCACCUUGGAUAUUGUUCUUACCCACCCCAAAUAAAUGUUAAAAAAAAAAAGAUUAAAUCUGGUCAUGUGUCAUUCCCCUCCAAAGUCAGUAAUGUCACCAUACCAGUGACAUUCCUAACAGCAAGGUUAAUUCUGUGCUCACUUUGGUUCUUCAUCACACAGUAACUUGCUAGGAUCAUUCACCUUUUUUUUUUCUUUUAGAGUCAUUGCAUACAGUCUUUCCAUCUGUCUGUAACUCUGUUUUGGUUUUCUACAGGGAGAAUAAAAAUGUUCCUUCAACAUCUUAAGUAUCUACCCAUCCUGGAUUGCAUUCCCUCCCUUGCUUUUCUCAGAUUCUCAAACUCAUCUCAUGUCCUUCAUGACUUAUGUUCAUGACACUGUAUUCUUUUGAGUCACCGCAAGAAUGUUCCAGAUCCCCUUUCACUAACAGAAGUCCUCCCACUGCCAGCUCAAUCCCAGAGACACUUGAUACCCAACAUUUACAUAAUAUUUGUAUUUCUGCCUGUGUCAGGUAUUGGUUGAAUAGUCUACGUAUUAUCCUUGGCUUUGAAUUUUCCUGAAGGUUUUUCACGGGUGAUACAGGUUCUUAUUUUUCUUUAUUAGAGCAGAUGUAAUUUUAUAAAAGCCUCUAUCCCUAUUUUCAAAAACUCCUAUUUCUACUUCUACCUCUCAACAACUUCAUGAACCCAUACAUUAAAAAAAAUGUGAACAGUUAAAUAAUGAUUUUUUUUCUUGACCUGAUUGGUGUUAGGCUACAUUGCAAACCCCCCAACAAAUUUCAAGUAGUAUUAUUCUUUUUUAAUUAUUCAUGCUCUCUGCCCCCAUGUGUUAUCCUUGGUAUUUGGUGACUGCAAUGCCACAUUAUUUGGUCAAAAACCUUUGAAUAUGGGACUUUUCCUUACGCAUAAUUUUUUGAACCAUUUUAAGACAUGGGUUUAUUUUAUUUCAUUUCGAAGAGUGGAUUAUGAUGAAGACAGAACCACAUUUCAAUGAUGCUUUUAUUUAUGUCCCUUUUAGUUACUUUGAGCAUAGGAUUUGCAAGGACGGCAUUACAAAUAAAGCAGUUAGGUAAGCAUUUUUCCACUUCCAGUGAAAAAUCAGAGAUUGAAAAUUGCUUUUAAUGCAGCAGCCUGAGAUGUAGAGAAAGAAUACGCUGUGCCAUUAGAGUUGCCACCUGGUAUUGAUCACAGGCGAGGGGCCACCUAUUCCUGAGGGUUUCCCGCCUUGCACGGAUCGUAUAGGUGUGUGAGUGUUAUCUGCAGGAAACGUAACUUAUUUCAGCAUCAGAUAAGACAGGAUACACUUGGUUUGGACAUGACUCACUACCUCCACAUUGUAUUCAAAAGAGAGUGCUUUUAUUCUUUCUCAUUUCUUCAGUUAGCAUAAAAACUUCAUCAUACAUAAUACAGCCCUUGUGUACCUAUUAGACUUUGGCAUUUAGAUGGUCUUCUUGGGGCUUCAAAGAAUGAGAUAAUCAUUAAUUAAUGCUAAAAAUCCCCCCAAAUCCUUUUAUGUUGGGUAUUUCCAUAAUGACCUUCAUUUAAUCCAGGAGGGAGAUUAACGAACUAAUCCUGAAGUCUGUGUCAAAGUCAGUCACAAAGCUGGCAUCAGGCGUUGGACCUCCGUGUCUGCUUCCAUGCCAAAUGACUCGCCUGCGAGGGAAGCAUGAGGCACAAUGUAAGCUAAGCCACCACUUGCCGUGCUCCUGCGACUGCAUCUGCUGAAAGUCCUGGGCGAUGGGCGGCAAAGGCAGUAUCUUCAGGGACGCCUCGUUGUGAAGAUAACUAAGUAAGAAGGAGGUGGCCAAGUAGUGACCUUCACAGCCCUGGGUAUUGGCCCCAGCAGUGGCUUGAGUGGCAAAAGCUGAGCCAGCUUAGUAGCGUGUGUCUGCACUGUUGCAUUUUCCAUGCAAUAGCUCAUUUAACCCUCACAGUGAUACUGUGGGGAAACUGAGCCAUGCCGUUAUAUAACACAGCUGAGAUGUGAACCUCAAGUUCUAGAGUCUUCAGUCUUGAUGCUGUCUCCACUUUUCUGCUGGACUCUUCCUCGAGGUGACCCCUGCCAAGGUUAGCAUUAUCUUUCUCCAGUUGAAGGCAUUACCUCUCCUUGCAGCCUGCUCUGAUGUUUCACACCUGUAUCACCAUCUCGCGGGCAUUAGACAGGAAUUCCUGAGUCAGAGAGCACUCAGGAUGUACUCUUGCCCUCCUCAGACCCUCCCUAGCUUCAGAUGAAACCCACACUCCAUCUUGAACAAGGCAUUCAAACCCAUCUGAGCCAUGAUUGAAAUUUGACUCAGCAUUCUCAGAUUUAAUGCCUGGUGUCGCUCCUCGUGAGAUCAGUGACCCAGCCUUCCAGGAACAUCACUAGUUUCAAGGUUGCCUAACUCAACAACAACAAAAAAA